CCCUUAGAUGUUCUGGGCCGCACGCGCGCUACACUGAUUCAUGCAACAAGUUUUGUCCUUGGCUGAUAGGCCCGGGUAAUCUUUGAACGUGAAUCGUGAUGGGGAUAGAUGAUUGCAAUUAUUCAUCUUCAACGAGGAAUUCCUAGUAAACGCAAGUCAUCAGCUUGCAUUGAUUACGUCCCUGCCCUUUGUACACACCGCCCGUCGCACCUACCGAUUGAAUGGUCCGGUGAAAUCUUCGGAUCUGAGAGAUGUCUGAUUAAUUUCGGACGCCUUUUGGAAAAGUUGCUUAAACCUUACCAUUUAGAGGAAGGUGAAGUCGUAACA
Molecule: ribosomal RNA, 327 nt
Filed under: uncultured eukaryote
Lineage: Eukaryota
Description: partial 18S ribosomal RNA
Rfam family: Eukaryotic small subunit ribosomal RNA
Source: RNAcentral